GAUAAUAUUUUUUUUUUUUUUAAUAUUGUGUUUGAAUAUCAUUUAUGACGCUAUAAUAAUUGGAGUAAACAUUUGAGUGUGACGAUAAGAUUCGGUUGUAAAUGCUCUGUAUAGUAUUAUGUCGUAUGUAGAUAGUAGUGUUAUACAGAGUGCAAAUAUAUUGUUAUUUAGUUAUGGUUAUAGUUAUAAUUGUAAAUGUAUGUAGUAAAUGUUGUAAAUGUAUGUAGUAAUAUGUUUAACGUAUGCCUCGAGUACAAUUUGUUGAACUGUUUACUCACCUCGAUGGUGCAACGAUGAUUCACGCUCGGAUCGUGUUUCUACAGGGGACUAAAAUCGCCAUCACCACCAGUACCAACACGGACCGAGAUCUGAUCACGGCGCAGAUGAGAGUGAUGAUCAUCGAUAGCCAAUUCUAAUUCUACUGCUGCUGCUGAGAACUCGGUUAAUAUUUCCAGAGAUCCAAGGCACGGUUCAUAGACAGUUUUUUUGCACAUUUUAAAUUUGGAAGAGAUCCGCGCUCGACGGCAACAUGUUAGAUGCUGUCAUAAGGUUAAGGGCGUUAUUGGCACGUGGUACGGUUUUUGAGAUGAUCACUAUAUAACUGGAGGGGGCAUUGAUCAGUCGGCGAAGGACAGAACAUGAAGAAAUGAGGAAAACAGGAAUGAGGAAAGAAAAUGCCUGGGGAAAAAAAUUUUUUUAUAUCACUAUUUUCCUGAUAUACUGAAUUGGACAAUUCGUAAUGUAAGUUUCGGAGAUCCUAAAUUUAU
Molecule: long non-coding RNA, 767 nt
Organism: Cotesia glomerata
Lineage: Eukaryota; Metazoa; Arthropoda; Insecta; Hymenoptera; Braconidae
Exons: 4
Source: RefSeq, a predicted model, not a curated record